CCAGACUCCUACGGGAGGCAGCAGUGGGGGAUAUUGCACAAUGGGGGGAACCCUGAUGCAGCGACGCCGCGUGGGUGAAGGAGUAUUUCGGUAUGUAAAGCCCUAUCGGCAGGGAAGAAGAAAGACGGUACCUGACUAAGAAGCCCCGGCUAACUACGUGCCAGCAGCCGCGGUAAUACGUAGGGGGCAAGCGUUAUCCGGAUUUACUGGGUGUAAAGGGAGCGUAGACGGCGAUGCAAGUCUGAAGUGAAAGGCGGGGGCCCAACCCCCGGACUGCUUUGGAAACUGUAUGGCUGGAGUGCAGGAGAGGUAAGUGGAAUUCCUAGUGUAGCGGUGAAAUGCGUAGAUAUUAGGAGGAACACCAGUGGCGAAGGCGGCUUACUGGACGACAACUGACGGUGAGGCGCGAAAGCGUGGGGAGCAAACAGGAUUAGAUACCCCAGUA
Molecule: ribosomal RNA, 445 nt
Filed under: uncultured bacterium
Lineage: Bacteria
Description: partial 16S ribosomal RNA
Rfam family: Bacterial small subunit ribosomal RNA
Source: RNAcentral